GACGAACGCUGGCGGCGUGCUUAACACAUGCAAGUCGAACGGAAAGGCCCUGCUUGCAGGGUACUCGAGUGGCGAACGGGUGAGUAACACGUGGGUGAUCUGCCCUGCACUUCGGGAUAAGCCUGGGAAACUGGGUCUAAUACCGGAUAGGAGCCAUUUUUAGUGUGAUGGUUGGAAAGUUUUUUCGGUGUAGGAUGAGCUCGCGGCCUAUCAGCUUGUUGGUGGGGUGAUGGCCUACCAAGGCGGCGACGGGUAGCCGGCCUGAGAGGGUGGACGGCCACAUUGGGACUGAGAUACGGCCCAGACUCCUACGGGAGGCAGCAGUGGGGAAUAUUGCACAAUGGGCGCAAGCCUGAUGCAGCGACGCCGCGUGGGGGAUGACGGCCUUCGGGUUGUAAACUCCUUUCGCUAGGGACGAAGCUUUUUGUGACGGUACCUAGAGAAGAAGCACCGGCUAACUACGUG
This 465-nucleotide ribosomal RNA is filed under the name uncultured bacterium. RNAcentral describes it as "partial 16S ribosomal RNA". It matches the Rfam family "Bacterial small subunit ribosomal RNA", at positions 28 to 507 of the family's 1533-position model. The record is from RNAcentral.